GACGAACGCUGGCGGCGUGCUUAACACAUGCAAGUCGAACGGAAAGGCCCUGCUUUUGUGGGGUGCUCGAGUGGCGAACGGGUGAGUAACACGUGAGUAACCUGCCCUUGACUUUGGGAUAACUUCAGGAAACUGGGGCUAAUACCGGAUAGGAGCUCCUGCUGCAUGGUGGGGGUUGGAAAGUUUCGGCGGUUGGGGAUGGACUCGCAGCUUAUCAGCUUGUUGGCGGGGUAGUGGCUUACCAAGGCUUUGACGGGUAGCCGGCCUGAGAGGGUGACCGGCCACAUUGGGACUGAGAUACGGCCCAGACUCCUACGGGAGGCAGCAGUGGGGAAUAUUGCACAAUGGGCGGAAGCCUGAUGCAGCAACGCCGCGUGCGGGAUGACGGCCUUCGGGUUGUAAACCGCUUUCGCCUGUGACGAAGCGUGAGUGACGGUAAUGGGUAAAGAAGCACCGGCUAACUACGU
RNAcentral lists this ribosomal RNA (467 nucleotides) under uncultured bacterium. RNAcentral's name for it is "partial 16S ribosomal RNA". It matches the Rfam family "Bacterial small subunit ribosomal RNA", at positions 28 to 506 of the family's 1533-position model. The record is from RNAcentral.